CAGUUGAACUUGCCCAAGUCAAAUCCAAAAUGCCAUUGAAAACUUGUUCGACUCACAGAUUGUUAAUUAAUGGAAAACACAACAAUUUGGCAUGUAAAAUAAGUUCGACUUCAAAUUUUGAGUUGGGCAAAGUCGAAAGUAUAGAGGGUGCUUUUCGAAAGACUAAGGACACCCUGUAUACCGUAUAUAAUUUUUUUUUUACAGGUACGAUUUCACUGCUAGAUGUGGAUUCAAGCUGAAUGCAAGAUUCACCUGAUAAUGAUUAAUACAAUAUGAAGAGAAGAUUUGACUGAAAGAUACAGGAAACUAAUGUUUUAAUGUUAUUCAACCACAAUGAAAAAUAUAUUUUAUAUUAUAAUAAUCAUAAAAAAAUGAAGUCAACGCUCUGUAACGCCAUCUACUGUGAACCCAUCUGCAAGAAGCCGAGAUGCUAUUAAGAUUUAUUUUAAAUGUAAUCAAAGUAUUAGAAAUGUAUCAGUAAUGUCAACAUAUGAAGACAAUAUCUUUAAUACAGUACAGUAAUUCAAAUACGUAAUUGAUUGAUGAAUUAGACAGGCCUAUGGUAUAUGUAUUAAUAAAUUUAUGCUGUAUGCCGGCAAAGAAUGGUACAGAGACAAGAAGACUGCAGGUAAGUGGGUUGGUUAUUUACUCAAAGAUCUUAUAACAAAAUAGCACUCACCUAUUUGUAAGCGUAAUGCAUGAAAGACUCGUAAAACUGCCCCUUCUGCAAAAAAUCAUACAAAGCAAAACUUAUUUACUGUACUGAAUUGUAUAUAUGGCGCUCCCUCCAAAAACCUAUCUGUACUCGGGGGGGGGGGGCAAAAUUUUCAAGGAACUGGGAAAGAAAUUGAAAAGCCAAAUUUGUUUUACUAAAUUUUAUAUAGCCCUCCCUUCAAAAAAUGCAAAGCCAAAUUAGCUUACUGAGUUUUAUAUAGAGCUCAUUACAAAAACCUUAUUUGUACACAUGCACUAAAAUCUUUCAUUGACAAUCUGAGAAAAAGUGACUGAAACUUUCAUAAAACUGCUCCCUGUACAAAGAAAUGUGUACGAAGCCAAUUUUGUUUACUAAAUUAAGAUAUGGUUCCUCCAAUAAUUUGUUAGUUGGAUAAUUCAUGGGAAAUUUCAUGAGACUGCCAAAAAAUUGUUUAUUUUAUAUAGUGCUCCAUCCAAAAGUUAUUUGUACGCAUAAUGAAAUCCGAACUGCAUGUUGCAUAUUGCGAGUUUGUUACAAGAUCUUUGAGCUACAUUGCAUUAGGUGCCCCUAAAUUAAAUGAGGGCGCUGUUGACGGUAAAGAGCGCCCUCUAUGGAUAAAGAGGGCACUUUAACGUGAGCAGUGCCUCAUUUCAUUUGGGGGCGCUAUUUAAUGCAGGAACCCUCUGAAUAAAAUGAGGGAUUUUAUUUAGGGGGCGGUAUAUUAUAAAAAUUGUAAUGAUGCAAGGAACAAAUAAAGGCAAGAGAAUUUGAA
Molecule: long non-coding RNA, 1466 nt
Organism: Anneissia japonica
Lineage: Eukaryota; Metazoa; Echinodermata; Crinoidea; Comatulida; Comatulidae
Exons: 2
Source: RefSeq, a predicted model, not a curated record